UUGUCUCAAAGAUUAAGCCAUGCAUGUCUCAGUACAAGCCGAAUUAAGGUGAAACCGCGAAAGGCUCAUUAAAUCAGUUAUGGUUCCUUAGAUCGUACCCACAUUUACUUGGAUAACUGUGGUAAUUCUAGAGCUAAUACAUGCAAACAGAGCUCCAACCGGAAACGGAAGGAGCGCUUUUAUUAGAUCAAAACCAAUCGGUGGCGGUUUCUCCGUCAUCGUACAACUUGGUGACUCUGAAUAACUUUAAGCUGAUCGCACGGUCUCGCACCGGCGACGCAUCUUUCAAAUGUCUGCCUUAUCAACUGUCGAUGGUAGGUUCUGCGCCUACCAUGGUUGUAACGGGUAACGGGGAAUCAGGGUUCGAUUCCGGAGAGGGAGCCUGAGAAACGGCUACCACAUCCAAGGAAGGCAGCAGGCGCGCAAAUUACCCACUCCCGGCACGGGGAGGUAGUGACGAAAAAUAACGAUACGGGACUCAUCCGAGGCCCCGUAAUCGGAAUGAGUACACUCUAAACCCUUUAACGAGGAUCAAUUGGAGGGCAAGUCUGGUGCCAGCAGCCGCGGUAAUUCCAGCUCCAAUAGCGUAUAUUAAAGUUGUUGCGGUUAAAAAGCUCGUAGUCGAAUCUGUGUCCCGCGCCGCCGGUUCAUCGUUCGCGGUGUUAACUGGCGUGCCGCGGGACGUCCUGCCGGUGGGCUUAGCUCGAGAGGGCGGCCCAACUCAAUCCCGCCGCGGUGCUCUUCAUUGAGUGUCGAGGUGGGCCGGCACGUUUACUUUGAACAAAUUAGAGUGCUUAAAGCAGGCUAAAACUUCGCCUGAAUACUGUGUGCAUGGAAUAAUGGAAUAGGACCUCGGUUCUAUUUUGUUGGUUUUCGGAACCCCGAGGUAAUGAUUAAUAGGAACGGAUGGGGGCAUUCGUAUUGCGACGUUAGAGGUGAAAUUCUUGGAUCGUCGCAAGACGGACAGAAGCGAAAGCAUUUGCCAAAAACGCUUUCAUUGAUCAAGAACGAAAGUUAGAGGUUCGAAGGCGAUCAGAUACCGCCCUAGUUCUAACCAUAAACGAUGCCAGCUAGCGAUCCGCCGACGUUCUUUCGAUGACUCGGCGGGCAGCUUCCGGGAAACCAAAGCUUUUGGGUUCCGGGGGAAGUAUGGUUGCAAAGCUGAAACUUAAAGGAAUUGACGGAAGGGCACCACCAGGAGUGGAGCCUGCGGCUUAAUU
RNAcentral lists this ribosomal RNA (1220 nucleotides) under Uloma clamensae. RNAcentral describes it as "SSU rRNA". It matches the Rfam family "Eukaryotic small subunit ribosomal RNA", at positions 32 to 1195 of the family's 1831-position model. The record is from RNAcentral. Lineage: Eukaryota; Metazoa; Arthropoda; Insecta; Coleoptera; Tenebrionidae. RNAcentral also lists the same sequence under 4 other names.